This 240-nucleotide ribosomal RNA is filed under the name uncultured bacterium. RNAcentral's name for it is "partial 16S ribosomal RNA". It matches the Rfam family "Bacterial small subunit ribosomal RNA", at positions 537 to 776 of the family's 1533-position model. The record is from RNAcentral.
AGCGUUGUCCGGAAUUAUUGGGCGUAAAGCGCUCGUAGGCGGUCUGUUGCGUCGGGAGUGAAAACUCAGGGCUUAACCCUGAGCCUGCUUCCGAUACGGGCAGACUAGAGGUAUGCAGGGGAGAACGGAAUUCCUGGUGUAGCGGUGAAAUGCGCAGAUAUCAGGAGGAACACCGGUGGCGAAGGCGGUUCUCUGGGCAUUACCUGACGCUGAGGAGCGAAAGUGUGGGGAGCGAACAGG